Non-coding RNA from Rattus norvegicus (Norway rat), 5365 nucleotides. Lineage: Eukaryota; Metazoa; Chordata; Mammalia; Rodentia; Muridae. The record is from RefSeq and is a predicted model, not a curated record.
CUCCAGCUGGUAACGCUAUUUUGGGAAGUGUUGGGAAACUGAGGAAGUGGUGGCUGCCUGAAGGAAGUAGGUCAUUAGGGUAAGCCCUCAUUGGUAUCUGGUCCCAGACCCUCCAUGUUUGUUUCUUUCUGCUUUCUAUAUGUGUGAGGUGAUCAGCUUCUAUAUGCCCUUGCCACCAUGAGGAAAGUGAACAGUGGCUGCUCUGAGCCAAAGCUAAUAUUUUGUCCGGUAAGUUCUUUGCUCAGGUAUUUCAGUCACUACUACAGAAAUCUUGAGAAAACAAGUACAAACGAAAUGGGGUCAUGGCUGAGAUGGCACAAUUGUGUGUCAAUUGUUUUCAGGGCAUUGGAACUGGUUUGUGGAAGACAUUGGAAAGGUCUAGAAACAAGCGAGUCAGGGAAAACCUAAGCCAUUAUAACUAGAACUUAACAGACAGUGGGAGUGUGGGUAGACCAGGAAGCUGACAGAAAUGUGCACAGUAAAAUCUGCAUUCAGGAGGCUUGAGGUUAAAAUGGAGACCUGGAGAAAGUUGACUAGUGGUCACCCUGUUAUAUCUCGGUCAAUAACUUAUCCAUAGUCUGUCCAGGUCCUGAGCCCUUGCCUAGAGAUAGAUAUGUAAAUAACUGACUAAUUAAUUUAAAAGGAAAUUUCAAGAUAGGAGAUGGUUCUGGCUGUGUACAGACAUUGUCGGCUGCUUUGAGAUAAUAACUGGAGACAAAGUGCAGACCAGAAAGCUCUGAGAAACAAGGGAAAUUGGAUGUGAGCAGCAGAAUUUUGUGGUUGGAACUUGAAUGAGCUCCACGAGCUCCUGUGCUUAGUGCUUGGUUUCCAAUUCCCGGUGCAAGAGCACAGCCACGGCUUUUGACUGGGUUCCUUUUCUUUGCCAGUUAAAGAAUUAAAAUGCAGGGAAAACACCAUGAGCUAGACAGGUAGCCGUGGGGAGAUCUCCAAUCCCACUGCUGGGGGACGACUAUCAUAAUUUUUUAGCCAAAUCUGAAGCAAGUUUUAUUGAGUACUGGUCAGGACCGUGGAUACUGGUCCUGACUUAAAGCACAUCACAGAAUAGAACACUUUCUUGUAUGACUCAAUUCCUCAAAAUCGCUAAAGCUUAACAGAAUUCUUUAAAAAGGCGAUGCAUUUGGAAGGCCUGUACUCUUUCCGUCAGUCUCGGUCAGCCUGAGUAGACCUCUGCUAAGGAGAAACGUCCUAUAGGCUUUGUGCAGACCACUUAGUAAGGUGUCUUGUUGCACACAUGAUGGGAGUACCCAAGUUUCUGUGCUCACAGCUGCAGCCCUCGCCCUUUGGCCUUUUAUUUGUAUAUUUUCAAGAUUACAUUUUACUAAACACAUCGGAACCUAGAACCUUUUAUAAACAUAACAUGUCCCAUAGCCUUAUACAUUUAAAUAUUUUAAAAGUUGUUUCUUUUCUUUAAAAAAAAUCCAGUUUUAUUAAGUUUUUUUUUUUUUUUUGCAAAACCCAAAAUUUCCUUUUAUAGCAAAGUUUAAAAUUUCUCAACUGUGCUCUCCAGCAGUAUCAAGGCAUAAAUUAAGUACCUUUUUUUUUUAUUCAAGAGGGAAAAGGGCACAGACACAUCUGGACCAGGCAAGACAAAGCUCCAACAGUGAGGGUAACUCAGUGCCCAGCAUCUGGGGUUCCCUCGGAACCUUACAGGAUCCUCCCUGCAAGGGGCCUGAGUCACCUCUGACUCUACCUUUGGCAGCCCACACAGUCUGUCUUCUAGGCUCCAGACCGUUCCGAUGCAUUGCUGGUGUUCUCUCUGGUGGCUGUCAGACGGCACAGGCAUCUCCAGGCCUCUCUUUAGGAACUCCAGCCCUUCUAUACAGGGGCAAGCCUCAGUUGUCCUCUGACAUUACCAAGUUCAGCCAUCAGCACACCGUAUGCUCUUACCGACGAACACACAGAGGUGCACCUUAAGUACAUUAUUGAACAAAUGUUGUUUUUAAAUCAUAUCUUUUAUGAAGCUCAUUUUUACGACUCUUAUUUUUAAGCAACAAUUAUUACACAAAAAUCCAUCCUAAUCCAAAAUCUCUUAGACAUGUUGUUGCCUUCUUAGUUGAUUUAUACCGUGUGGUCGCCUCCAAUCAAGAUGGUGGUGAAGUCAUAUCCUCUUUAUGACCUUCACUACACAGUCAGGAGAGUGGGCCCUUCGCCUCACCUAUACAGCACAGUAGAGCUGGCCCAGGAGGUAGGGGUUGAAGGUGAGCUGUCCCUGAGGCUGCGAGUGCAGGAGAGCUGGUCCUGCCUCUUGUCUCUUGGGUGGUGGAGUAGGUAAGGGAAAGAUGGCCUCCUCCCUUCCCUCUUCCCUUGCCAUUCAUGGCAGGUGGGAGAACUGGUCCCAGGGCCAUGAGAGUGGGAGAAUGGGCCACGUCACUCACAACACUCAAGAGAGAGAACCCUGCACUACACGGGAGCAGCUAGCAGGCUGACCAGCUCAGAUAUCUCUCAGGUCAAGAUUCAGGGAUUUGAUUUGAUCCACCUCAUUGUCUUUCCCAUCUAUGAAUUGCUGGAGUACACGAAGAAGGCAGUCCUAUAGAUUAAAGGCUACAGGAUCUCCAUGACAACAGGGCAACAACAGGAUGUCUGAGAGGGGUCCCGGUGAGGUUCCAGUAUUGCUAGAGUAGCAGAAGCCAGAGGCCUGGGAGCAGACCAACAAGUCAUUCAUUGCAAUGAACACUUGCAAGCAAAGAGGUGUGGACAAAAGGGUACGUUGUGGGACACACUAUGACACACUGCAGCUUCCACAAAAUUUUUCUUUCCUCUGUUGGGGGGACGGUUGCAAGGGUGGAGGGUAAGUACUAGGGGAGGGGGCAAUGAGUGGGAGUGGGGAACAUGAUAUGAGAUUCACAAAGAACCAAGAAAAAGUUGGGUUGAUAAUUAAAAAUCUAUACACAAGUAAUCCUAAAGGAACCAUGAGGUGUGGCAUCAUCCUGGAUGUAAUCAACAUGGCCACCAUCUUAACUGAUGCUCCCCAUAGGAUAGAAGACACAUGUCCGGCGGCCAUUUUUACUAAGGUUGCAGAGGAUAAGUGGCUAAGAGUGCAGGCCUUAAGAGUGCACCACCUUUUUAAAAAUGUUGUUAAGCUUUUGCUAUUUUGAUAAAUGGAGUUAUACAAGAAAGUAUGAUAUUCCGUAAUGACACUCUAUAAGGACCAGGGAAGCAAAGUCUUCAGUGUCCCUGUGAGACUUUAUUUAUGGCUUCAAGUUUUAUUUUGAUUCUAAAAGAGCCUCAAUUCAAAGAUGGUUUUUGUUUUUGAGGCUAAACCUAGCAAGGAUGUAAGGGCAAAUUUAUAAAAGCUACACCUUUACAGUUGUGUGGUUCUCCCACUCUCAUGGCCCUGGGGCCAGUUCUCCCACCUGCCAUAGAUGACAAGGGACAAGGGAAGGGAGGAGGCCAUCUUUCCUUACCUAGUCCACCACAGGACAGACAAGAGGCAGGACCAGUUCUCCUGUACUCAAAGCCUCAGCGCUGGCUCACUUUCGACGCCUACAUCCAGGGCCAGCUCUACUAUGCUGUACAGGUGAAGUGAAGGGCCUGCUCUCCUGAGUGCUGUAGCAAGUGAAGGGGAAAAGUUUUCCUACUCUGAUGACUUCCAAGGGUUGGGUGGGGCAUGGGGCAGCUCUCCUGCCUGCCAUAAGUGGCAAGGGGUGGAGGGCAGGGGGGCUCUUCUUCCUUGCCCAUGUCAUCACAGAAGGUACGGUCAGAUCACCCACACUUAUGCUCUUAGGGGCCAGCUCCCUCGUACCCCCACCACCAAGAUCAGCUCUACUGUGCUGUCCAGGUGACGUGCAGGGCCACUGGUGAGGAGCAAGGACAGCUCUCCUGCUCUCAUGACCACAUGGCCAGGACUCCUACCUACCACCAGUUCGGAGUGCAGAGGGGAACAAGCAUACCUCCUGAUGUACUUCCUGCCUGCCUACCUCCUGCCUAUAUGUGACCAAGCACACAUCCUUUACGGUUGGAGCAAGCAAACUUGUUUACAGAAGAAAAAAAAAAACCUGGCUUAUUAUCUUUCAUGAGCAGCCCCCAUCAUUCUAGGAGCUAUCUAUCCUUGGGUAAGCAGGGCUUACAGGUGAGAGGUAUUUCCAUUUUAUAGAGCUCUCUUAAUCACAGUAAUUAGAACUUAAAACAUAACUUUAGCCAUCACAAACUCUUGAUCAUGGCAAACAGGAGCAGAUAGAAUCAGCAGUUCGUAAUGGUUUGUUCUGGAAGUGAGGAAAGACACACUUUGCAGCAGGUACACAGAAAAGAAGACCAUCUGCUUGCUAAGCAGAGGGGGAACUUGGGAAGCCAAAAAUCCAGCCUCUUCUCUAGAAGUUUUUCAGUCUCUGAAGGGUUUUCCCCUUUAAUUUAAGGUCAGUCAGCUUGAAGAAAGACAGGCUGGCUGAUUGCCUCACAGGUGUGUAAGGAUUGCCCUGACCAGCCUUUGAGCUUGUUAAGUCAGCCCUACCGGCAGGAGAAAAGUCCCUCAUAGCCUUAGCCUGCUAAAUGUUUGUCUCAGCUCAGGAAGGUGAUGAAGAAUCCAGCCAUCUUGGAAGUUCACCGUCUUUACUACCUUAGUCAUGAGCCCUCUCCUUAUCUGUUUGCCUACCAGGAAGUCUGUCCCACACUACUUCAGGAUAUUCUAGUAACUUGAGAUCUAAUUUUGAGAUUUACUUAGUGGGACCUAAGUAAAUGAAUCACACUGAGGUGCGACAUAUAAGUUAUGCUGGUCAUCACUUGCUUCCUUGCUCUCUGCUUCCUGUCUCCUACAGAGCAAAUGCUUCUUCCAGUCUGUAUCCCUGCUGCCCUGGUGUUCCUCUGUCCAAGUGUAUGAGUUCAAGCUGCCAUCGACUUGAUCUUCUGAAUCCGUGAGCCCAAACAAAUCCUUUUUCCUUCACGACAUUUGAUCGGAUUUCUUAAGCACAGCUGUGCUAGAUUUCAGAGGCAGCACAAAGGGACAGAAGGCAGGAGGAGACCAGGGUGUGACCUCAGACAACAUGGUAACCGCGACAAGACGUCCAGGAAGAAGUGUUUGGAACUCACAUGUUAAUUUCUGCUGGCAUCUGAGGGAAAGGUUCAGUUGGGCGUCAUGGGUGAGUCUUCUACCAUAAAAGAGCCCAGAAGUCCAGAACACCUUAAUAAAUGUGCAAUGGAGACCUGAAGCUGUUAACUAAUGGCCGUGAAGAUACACGAAGCCUCUAUUAAAUGCCAGAUGUCCUCUCUGAUCUGCACAUUGUUCUGAGAUGGCUGUUAUGUCAUGCGGUGAGAACUGUGUACAGUGAUUUUACAGUGAGGAAACAAACCUGUGAUUUGAUGAAAGGAGAACCAUUUUAAAUUAUAGUUAUUAAAAUUAUAUAAAUCCAAA